GGCGAACGCUGGCGGCGUGCUUAACACAUGCAAGUCGAACAGAAAGGCCCUGCUUGCGGGGUACUCGAGUGGCGAACGGGUGAGUAACACGUGGGUGAUCUGCCCUGCACUUCGGGAUAAGCCUGGGAAACUGGGUCUAAUACCGGAUAGGAGCCAUUUUUAGUGUGAUGGUUGGAAAGUUUUUUCGGUGUAGGAUGAGCUCGCGGCCUAUCAGCUUGUUGGUGGGGUAAUGGCCUACCAAGGCGGCGACGGGUAGCCGGCCUGAGAGGGUGGACGGCCACAUUGGGACUGAGAUACGGCCCAGACUCCUACGGGAGGCAGCAGUGGGGAAUAUUGCACAAUGGGCGCAAGCCUGAUGCAGCGACGCCGCGUGGGGGAUGACGGCCUUCGGGUUGUAAACUCCUUUCGCUAGGGACGAAGCUUUUUGUGACGGUACCUGGAUAAGAAGCACCGGCUAACUACGUG
Molecule: ribosomal RNA, 465 nt
Filed under: uncultured bacterium
Lineage: Bacteria
Description: partial 16S ribosomal RNA
Rfam family: Bacterial small subunit ribosomal RNA
Source: RNAcentral